UUUUUAGAUGAACAAAAAUUUUAUGUAUUCAGGAGCCAUAUACAUGUCGUUUUAGUUCAUGGCCAAUUCCGCAGAAGACCAGGCAAAAAAACGAGGAAUAACACUACAAAAAUGAAGAACACUGAAAGAACAACAAUGAUUUUAAGAACAAUGGAAACCAUAAAAACGAAGAGCAUUCGAAGGAACUACAAACAAAGAGUACUCAAAGAAACUACAAAAAAACGAAGAGCACUCAAAGAACAAUUUUAACAAUAUUGUUGUUCUUUAUAAUUAAACAAAGCACUAUAUAGAGAAAGACAUAACAGAUGCAAACUAUUCAAGAAAAACGAAAGCCAAACACACGUUGACAACAUUUUAUGUUACUUAUUAUGAGAUCAACUGGUAGCUUAAUUAGUUCUGCAUUCUUUGAAGAAUAGCACUCCUCACAAGUUCUUCGUUUGUCAGUCCAUCAGGAACUCUAGCCACAACAUCUUGAAGCACCAUCUCCUUGAUGCUUGACAUACUUGCGUGAUGAACUUUGAACUCCACUUCUCUAAGCGCAUCCAUUAACCUUGCAGCUGGGUAAUUAACAUCCGGGGACAGGAACCGUAUCAUGGCUUCUGAUCCUACAAUUUUCACUUCCAAUUCCAUUGCCUUGGCUUUGUAAGCUGAAGAGGACCUGAUGUGAUCAAUCAUGGAAUCGGUGCUCUGAUUGUCGGUGACGCUUGUAAUCUUGGAUUUCUUGGAUACUGCUUGUAGUUUGGACUCCAAUUCAUCAACCUUGGCCUUGAGCUCCUUGAUGUAAGUAACAGCAUCUGCUAGUAGAGAUGCUUUGUCCAUCUUUGACACAUUAGGAACGACAGAUCGGAGUGCAUAGAAUCUAUGAUUCAGCCUCUCUCUGCGCUGCCUCUCCGCUUCAACAUGGUUCAGAGUCAAUUCUUUGCCGUUCAGUUGGGUUCUUCCUCUUUUCUUGAGCCGAUCAGUAUUUCCAGCGGCGAAAUUGCCUUCAGAAUCAGAACGUGCCGAGUCAGAUGAUGAGCGGCCUUGACCUGUGGGAUCUUUCUUUUUGUCGCCUUCAUUUUGCUUCUCCGCAGAAGUGUCCUUUUGAGAAGCUGAAAACAUGCCAAUAUCAAGGAAAGAAGUAUUAGGAAUCUGAAGCUGUGACUCGUGGCUCGGCUCCUUUGAGACCAAGCAGGCUGAGUCUCCCCCGAACAGCGAUUUGCAGAGUUGCACUAGGCUCCAAUCUUUAUCGAUCGUAUUCGAGGAGCCCAAUUCAACAACUGCACAAGAGGUUGAAAUACAGACCAAAGUCUGUACCCCAUGCAUACGAGCCUCUUUAACUCUCUCACAAUCGUACAUCUGUAACUCAUUGUUACCCGUCAACCAAAUAAAAGCCCCGGAGCCAAAUGUCCUGCCAAGAAUUCCAUCAUCAAUAGCGAAAGAUCGUGUUACUGAUACUGUAUAAAACCAUUCGUAGUCAAUAGCAUCCACGUCUGCCAAUCUGUCCAUCUCCAUAUCAUCACUGAAAAGAGUCUGGGACUCUUUGUUAGUCAUCUUUCUUUCAAGAUUAAACCCGAAUUUGAGUUGGUUCUGCUUGCAGCAAGCUUUGGCUGCAAAUUCUUCGGUGCCACGGAAAUGGCCAUCACCCCACGAUAAAACAAGGCGUCCAGUGGCAUCCUUGGACGCCUGCCAGAAGAUGGCGUAGACCCACCAUUCAGGCCGGCUUUGGAGGAUGAACUGGAGGCGUUGUUGGAGUGGGGGAUAAGAGUCUUGACAAAAAGACAUGAAGGAGGAAGAUGAAGAUGGGGACGUUAACUCGUCCAUUGAUAUCUUCUGCAUGCACCUUAGUAUUUCAAUUUUGUAUGUUCUUUUCUGUUUUUUGGUUUAGCUAGAGAGUUUCCACAAUCUAUGGAAUUCCAGAAAGUUUGAGAGUUGGAGAGGGACAGGGUAAGAGGGAUAAAUGAGCGACGUUGGUUUACAAGUGAGACUUGGGGUUAUUUAAAGACAAAGGAAAUGAAAGCCUCUUAUUAUGUAGCAGAAAUUAUUAUAUAAUAAAGCAUUGAUUCUAUA
This 2049-nucleotide unclassified non-coding RNA is filed under the name Hevea brasiliensis (rubber tree). Lineage: Eukaryota; Viridiplantae; Streptophyta; Magnoliopsida; Malpighiales; Euphorbiaceae. The record is from RNAcentral.